RNAcentral lists this ribosomal RNA (506 nucleotides) under uncultured bacterium. RNAcentral describes it as "partial 16S ribosomal RNA". It matches the Rfam family "Bacterial small subunit ribosomal RNA", at positions 30 to 523 of the family's 1533-position model. The record is from RNAcentral.
AUUGAACGCUGGCGGCAGGCCUAACACAUGCAAGUCGAACGGUAACAGGAAACAGCUUGCUGUUUCGCUGACGAGUGGCGGACGGGUGAGUAAUGUCUGGGAAACUGCCUGAUGGAGGGGGAUAACUACUGGAAAAGGUAGCUAAUACCGCAUAACGUCGCAAGACCAAAGAGGGGGACCUUCGGUCCUCUUGCCAUCGGAUGUGCCCAGAUGGGAUUAGCUAGUGGGUGGGGUAACGGCUCACCUAGGCGACGAUCCCUAGCUGGUCUGAGAGGAUGACCAGCCACACUGGAACUGAGACACGGUCCAGACUCCUACGGGAGGCAGCAGUGGGGAAUAUUGCACAAUGGGCGCAAGCCUGAUGCAGCCAUGCCGCGUGUAUGAAGAAGGCCUUCGGGUUGUAAAGUACUUUCAGCGGGGAGGAAGGGAGUAAAGUUAAUACCUUUGCUCAUUGACGUUACCCGCAGAAGAAGCACCGGCUAACUCCGUGCCAGCCGCCGCCGUAA